GUUAUAUCGGUUGUCACGUGAUCUGUUAGCGUCAGUUUGAUCUACAUGUAUUAGCGGACCGGGAUAGUUGAUAACAGGGUUUGACACCCAUAAAUUAAAAAAAAAAAAAAAAAAAAAAAACAAGACAAAAUGACGUCGGCUGAUGCUGAGAAAGACCGGCAGGUUGUCGAUUCAAUCACCACUCCAGGGAUAACUGUUGAGCAAGUAAUGGACAUGUAUAAAUCCUGGGCCAAUUCAUAUGACCAAAGCAUGAUAAAAGUUCUGGCUAAGGGACCUAUCUUCGCGGCCAAGGUUGUUAAAGACGUCUUGGGUGACGACAGGAAAGCAUUGAUAUUAGACGCCGGCGCCGGCACAGGACUUGUCGG
Molecule: long non-coding RNA, 365 nt
Organism: Lingula anatina
Lineage: Eukaryota; Metazoa; Brachiopoda; Lingulata; Lingulida; Lingulidae
Source: RefSeq, a predicted model, not a curated record